ACGUGCUACAAUGGCGUAAACAAAGGGAGGCGAACCCGCGAGGGGGAGCGAAUCCCAAAAAUAACGUCCCAGUUCGGACUGUAGUCUGCAACCCGACUACACGAAGCUGGAAUCGCUAGUAAUCGCGAAUCGGAACGUCGCGGUGAAUACGUUCCCGGGUCUUGUACACACCGCCCGUCACACCAUGGGAGUCGGGAAUGCCCGAAGCCGGUGACCCAACCGAAAGGAGGGAGCCGUCGAAGGCAGGUCGGAUGACUGGGGUGAAGUCGUAACAAGGUACC
RNAcentral lists this ribosomal RNA (281 nucleotides) under uncultured bacterium. Its description in RNAcentral is "partial 16S ribosomal RNA". It matches the Rfam family "Bacterial small subunit ribosomal RNA", at positions 1220 to 1500 of the family's 1533-position model. The record is from RNAcentral.